Molecule: ribosomal RNA, 563 nt
Filed under: Paraclostridium bifermentans ATCC 638 = DSM 14991
Lineage: Bacteria; Bacillati; Bacillota; Clostridia; Peptostreptococcales; Peptostreptococcaceae
Description: Paraclostridium bifermentans ATCC 638 partial 16S ribosomal RNA
Rfam family: Bacterial large subunit ribosomal RNA
Source: RNAcentral
AGGUAGGGGAGCUUCCUAUGCAGGCUGAAGCAUGACCGUAAGGACGUGUGGACAGUAUAGGAGUGAGAAUGUUGGCAUGAGUAGCGAGACGUGGGUGAGAAUCCCACGGGCCGUAAACCCAAGGUUUCCAGGGGAAGGUUCGUCCGCCCUGGGUUAGUCGGGACCUAAGCCGAGGCCGAAAGGCGUAGGUGAUGGACAACAGGUUGAGAUUCCUGUACCACCGAUAAUCGUUUGAGAGAUGGAAUGACACAGUAGGAUAAGCUAACCACACUGUUGGUUAUGUGUGGCUAAGUACUGAGGCAGUCAAGGCAGGCAAAUCCGCCAUGAUAAUGCUGGGGUACGAUGGGGAGCGAAAUUAAGUAGCGAAGUAGCUGAUUUCACACUGUCGAGAAAAGUUUCUAUCGAGAUUAAAGGUGCCCGUACCGCAAACCGACACAGGUGGGUGAGGAGAGUAUCCUAAGGCCAGCGAGAGAACUGUUGUUAAGGAACUCGGCAAAAUGACCCCGUAACUUAGGGAGAAGGGGUGCCACGUUAGGGUUAACGCCCGAGGUGGCCGCAGAGAA